AACACAUGCAAGUCGCACGAGAAAGGGGCUUCGGCUCUGAGUAAAGUGGCGCACGGGUGAGUAACACGUGACUUAUCUACCUCCGAGUGGGGAAUAACUGAGGGAAACCUUAGCUAAUACCGCAUAACACUUACGAGUCAAAGCAGCAAUGUGCUUGGAGAGGAGGUCGCGGCAGAUUAGCUAGUUGGCGGGGUAAUGGCCCACCAAGGCGAUGAUCUGUAUCCGGCCUGAGAGGGCGCACGGACACACUGGAACUGAAACACGGUCCAGACUCCUACGGGAGGCAGCAGUGGGGAAUUUUGCGCAAUGGGGGAAACCCUGACGCAGCAACGCCGCGUGGAGGAUGAAGUCUCUUGGGACGUAAACUCCUUUCGAUCGGGACGAUAAUGACGGUACCGAUAGAAGAAGCCCCGGCUAACUUCGUGCCAGCAGCCGCGGUAAUACGAGGGGGGCAAGCGUUGUUCGGAAUUAUUGGGCGUAAAGGGCGCGUAGGCGGUUUGGCAAGUUUGGUGUGAAAUCUUCGGGCUCAACUCGAAGUCUGCACCGAAAACUGCCGGGCUUGAGUAUGGGAGAGGUGAGUGGAAUUUCCGGUGUAGCGGUGAAAUGCGUAGAUAUCGGAAGGAACACCUGUGGCGAAAGCGGCUCACUGGACCAUUACUGACGCUGAGGCGCGAAAGCUAGGGGGGCAAACAGGAUUAGAUACCCUGGUAGUCCUAGCCCUAAACGAUGAUUGCUUGAUGUGGCAGGUACCCAAUCCUGCCGUGUCGAAGCUAACGCGAUAAGCAAUCCGCCUGGGGAGUACGGUCGCAAGGCUGAAACUCAAAGGAAUUGACGGGGGCCCGCACAAGCGGUGGAGCAUGUGGUUUAAUUCGACGCAACGCGAAGAACCUUACCUGGGCUCGAAAUGUACGGGAAUCACUUAGAAAUAGGUGCGCCUAGCAAUAGGCCCGUAUAUAGGUGCUGCAUGGCUGUCGUCAGCUCGUGUCGUGGGAUGUUGGGUUAAGUCCCGCAACGAGCGCAACCCUUAUCUCCAGUUGCUACCAUUUAGUUGAGCACUCUGGCGAAACCGCCUCGGAUAACGGGGAGGAAGGUGGGGAUGACGUCAAGUCCUCAUGGCCUUUAUGUCCAGGGCUACACACGUGCUACAAUGGCCGGUACAAACCGCUGCGAACCCGCGAGGGGGAGCCAAUCGGAAAAAGCCGGCCUCAGUUCGGAUUGGAGUCUGCAACUCGACUCCAUGAAGCUGGAAUCGCUAGUAAUCGCAGAUCAGAAUGCUGCGGUGAAUACGUUCCCGGGUCUUGUACACACCG
Molecule: ribosomal RNA, 1310 nt
Filed under: uncultured bacterium
Lineage: Bacteria
Description: bacterial SSU rRNA
Rfam family: Bacterial small subunit ribosomal RNA
Source: RNAcentral